Molecule: small nuclear RNA, 165 nt
Filed under: Castor canadensis (American beaver)
Lineage: Eukaryota; Metazoa; Chordata; Mammalia; Rodentia; Castoridae
Description: U1 spliceosomal RNA (ENSCCNG00000029903.1)
Rfam family: U1 spliceosomal RNA
About the family: U1 is a small nuclear RNA (snRNA) component of the spliceosome (involved in pre-mRNA splicing). Its 5' end forms complementary base pairs with the 5' splice junction, thus defining the 5' donor site of an intron.
Source: Rfam by way of RNAcentral
AUACUUAUCUGGCAGGGGAGAUUACCAUGAUCACGAAGAUGGUUUUCCUAGGGCGAGGUUUAUCCAUUGCACUCCGGAUGUGCUGACCCCUGCGAUUUCCCCAAAUGUGGGAAACUCGACUGCAUAAUUUGUGGUAGUGGGGGACUAUGUUCACACUCUCCCCUA